Molecule: long non-coding RNA, 1088 nt
Filed under: Androctonus crassicauda
Lineage: Eukaryota; Metazoa; Arthropoda; Arachnida; Scorpiones; Buthidae
Source: RNAcentral
AUUAAUUUAAAAGAUCAAUGAAUAUGCAGAUAAAAUAUAUACUAUAUUUAAAAUUCUUAUCAUUCGUUCUGAGAAAACUAUCGUUAGGUCAAUCGAUUAUUUAAAUGGGAGAAUAUAUUGUAAAACGCACAACCAUUUCCGUCAAUGACGUGUUGAAAUACGAAGCGACUGGGCAUGCUCUGAAUUAUACAGUACUGUGUAUCUUUACUGCCUGUGAUUCUGAUAGACGCCAUUCUCUCAGUUUUCCUGAGGUAAAGUCUCUUUUAAAUAAAGUUGCAAUAUUCAUUUUUCAAAUGGAUAUUUCAAUUUAAUAUUUAUUUUCCUUAUUUCUUUAAAUAUAAAUAAUUUUUGUAGCUAAAUUAACUCAAUAAUGGAUGCAAUUCCGUAAUUGUUUCUUUGAUUAAUUUAUUUUGCGAAAAAUACUUUUUGGGAUUUUCAAAAAUAAAUCUUCAGUUUAUGACAUUAUUCGGUUGUGAUUUCUUCCACGCGCUGUUGGGAUAAAUUCUACUGUCGCUUAGCAACCUGGGGGCGCGGUUACGUGUUCCCCUUGGCGAUUGGUGGGUUCGCCCGUACCGGCAAGUCUCCCGCCACUGGCUACCGUAGAGUCGAACAGCGAGAGCAGGAAGUGACGUCACGGGAGAUGGGAAAUCGUGCUUCGUACUGUUUCCCACCUAGAAGGUGCAGGCCUGUUACCAGGUGAGAGUUAUAUGCUCUUAAAUUUGACAUUGCAUUUUCAUGCGCGUAAUAAUCAAGCAGAAUAUGCCAGAUGUGAUGAACUUAGUUAAUAGAACUAAAUCGGAAGGAAUUUUAGAGAGAAGAGAAUUGCAUCAAUACUUACUACGGAUAGACGAACUAAAAGGCGCCAUCCUGCUCCAUUCUUGGACGACAAUCGAUACUCGGGGAUGCAGGAACUAUUCGAUAAUACCUAUUCUGGGGAUUUUCUGUUCUUAUUUGAUCUUCUAGUAAGCCACAAUAAGAUGAAAACAUCGAGACAAUAUAUAGAAACUUUAAUAUAUGUAGAUAAUUUUGCAAAAAUUUAAUAAAACAAAAAAAGACAUUUAAUCACUAUAUUUCCUUUUUUUUUUUUU